GGGCAUAAGGCGUAGUGGUCACUGCACUCGCCUUGCACGCGGGAGACCCGGGUUCGAUUCCCGGCGGGGUCA
This 72-nucleotide transfer RNA is filed under the name Diaphorina citri (Asian citrus psyllid). It matches the Rfam family "tRNA". From Rfam's summary of the family: Transfer RNA (tRNA) molecules are approximately 80 nucleotides in length. Their secondary structure includes four short double-helical elements and three loops (D, anti-codon, and T loops). The record is from Rfam by way of RNAcentral. Lineage: Eukaryota; Metazoa; Arthropoda; Insecta; Hemiptera; Psyllidae.